AGGAUUGAAAGGCAAACUCUUCGAAAGAUGAGGACGCAAAGCCGCGGGCCUAACAUCUUCACGGAUUACGGCGGCCGGGUUGCCAUU
This 87-nucleotide non-coding RNA is filed under the name Paenibacillus sp. cl6col. RNAcentral's name for it is "GEMM cis-regulatory element". It matches the Rfam family "c-di-GMP-I riboswitch aptamer". Rfam says of the family: GEMM was predicted in a large-scale screen for bacterial structured RNA regulatory elements. Genes associated with GEMM are involved in a diverse array of functions, including chemotaxis regulation, signal transduction, secretion and chitin. RNAcentral also lists the same sequence under 1 other name. Lineage: Bacteria; Bacillati; Bacillota; Bacilli; Caryophanales; Paenibacillaceae. The record is from RNAcentral.